AAUGUCGUAACAAGGUUUCCGUAGGUGAACCUGCGGAAGGAUCAUUACGUAUGGUAGGCCGGUCUGACCGGUUCUAUUCAACCCUGUUUUUCGCGCACCCUUUGUUUCCUCGGCAGGCUUGCCUGCCAGUAGGACCUUUCAACCCUUCGUGUCAAAGCAAUCAGCGUCAAACAAACAAACAAUGGUAACAA
Molecule: unclassified non-coding RNA, 191 nt
Filed under: plant metagenome
Description: partial contains small subunit ribosomal RNA and internal transcribed spacer 1
Rfam family: Eukaryotic small subunit ribosomal RNA (bases 1-47)
Source: RNAcentral